Molecule: ribosomal RNA, 915 nt
Filed under: Streptococcus infantis
Lineage: Bacteria; Bacillati; Bacillota; Bacilli; Lactobacillales; Streptococcaceae
Description: bacterial SSU rRNA
Rfam family: Bacterial small subunit ribosomal RNA
Source: RNAcentral
CCCUUGGAGAGUUUGAUCCUGGCUCAGGAUGAACGCUGGCGGCGUGCCUAAUACAUGCAAGUCGAACGCUUCACUUCGGUGAAGAGUGGCGAACGGGUGAGUAAUACAUAAGUAACCUGGCAUCUACAGGGGGAUAACUGAUGGAAACGUCAGCUAAGACCGCAUAGGUGUAGAGAUCGCAUGAACUCUAUAUGAAAAGUGCUACGGGACUGGUAGAUGAUGGACUUAUGGCGCAUUAGCUGGUUGGUAGGGUAACGGCCUACCAAGGCGACGAUGCGUAGCCGACCUGAGAGGGUGACCGGCCACACUGGGACUGAGACACGGCCCAGACUCCUACGGGAGGCAGCAGUAGGGAAUUUUCGGCAAUGGGGGAAACCCUGACCGAGCAACGCCGCGUGAAGGAAGAAGUAAUUCGUUAUGUAAACUUCUGUCAUAGAGGAAGAACGGUGGAUAUAGGGAAUGAUAUCCAAGUGACGGUACUCUAUAAGAAAGCCACGGCUAACUACGUGCCAGCAGCCGCGGUAAUACGUAGGUGGCGAGCGUUAUCCGGAAUUAUUGGGCGUAAAGAGGGAGCAGGCGGCACUAAGGGUCUGUGGUGAAAGAUCGAAGCUUAACUUCGGUAAGCCAUGGAAACCGUAGAGCUAGAGUGUGUGAGAGGAUCGUGGAAUUCCAUGUGUAGCGGUGAAAUGCGUAGAUAUAUGGAGGAACACCAGUGGCGAAGGCGACGAUCUGGCGCAUAACUGACGCUCAGUCCCGAAAGCGUGGGGAGCAAAUAGGAUUAGAUACCCUAGUAGUCCACGCCGUAAACGAUGAGUACUAAGUGUUGGGAGUCAAAUCUCAGUGCUGCAGUUAACGCAAUAAGUACUCCGCCUGAGUAGUACGUUCGCAAGAAUGAAACUCAAAGGAAUUGACGGG